RNAcentral lists this long non-coding RNA (417 nucleotides) under Elaeis guineensis (African oil palm). Its description in RNAcentral is "long non-coding RNA (EGUI_LNC045347)". Lineage: Eukaryota; Viridiplantae; Streptophyta; Magnoliopsida; Arecales; Arecaceae. The record is from RNAcentral.
GUGGCAGUUCAUUCAAUAAUAUAUCUAGUAGCUAGAAAAAUUACGAGGAAUGGGGACUCAACUCUAGGGUGGUCUCUAAUUCACCACUAAAUCUCAAUUUAUUCAUGCCACACAAUAUAAGGACCAUGGUGCAUGGACAUCAUUGAAUAAAGGAGACAAGCACCUCAUGAUCGUUUGGGAGGUGAUGUUGCUGCAGCAAAUGACAUUGCUAGAGUAGGUCUUUCGAUGUAUCAGGUUUCGAAUCAUACAUCAGACCUCAUUCCACCCCGACACCGAUGAUCCAUAUACAUGUGGAUUGUCUAAGAUGUCAUACUCAAGCAAUUACAAUCCUUCAUGGCCUCAGCUAUAUCUACAUUUUUGGAUAGCCAACCUAGUCUCAAAUAGAUAACUCCUCUUAGAGUAACGAUCCGUUGGACU